RNAcentral lists this ribosomal RNA (490 nucleotides) under uncultured bacterium. Its description in RNAcentral is "partial 16S ribosomal RNA". It matches the Rfam family "Bacterial small subunit ribosomal RNA", at positions 30 to 507 of the family's 1533-position model. The record is from RNAcentral.
AUUGAACGCUGGCGGCAGGCCUAACACAUGCAAGUCGAACGGUAACAGGAAGAAGCUUGCUUCUUUGCUGACGAGUGGCGGACGGGUGAGUAAUGUCUGGGAAACUGCCUGAUGGAGGGGGAUAACUACUGGAAACGGUAGCUAAUACCGCAUAACGUCGCAAGACCAAAAAGGGGGACCUUCGGGCCUCUUGCCAUCGGAUGUGCCCAGGUGGGAUUAGCUAGUAGGUGGGGUAACGGCUCACCUAGGCGACGAUCCCUAGCUGGUCUGAGAGGAUGACCAGCCACACUGGAACUGAGACACGGUCCAGACUCCUACGGGAGGCAGCAGUGGGGAAUAUUGCACAAUGGGCGCAAGCCUGAUGCAGCCAUGCCGCGUGUAUGAAGAAGGCCUUCGGGUUGUAAAGUACUUUCAGCGGGGAGGAAGGGAGUAAAGUUAAUACCUUUGCUCAUUGACGUUACCCGCAGAAGAAGCACCGGCUAACUCCGUG